This 4230-nucleotide long non-coding RNA is filed under the name Homo sapiens (human). RNAcentral describes it as "HSALNT0286119". The record is from RNAcentral. Lineage: Eukaryota; Metazoa; Chordata; Mammalia; Primates; Hominidae.
GCCGCCGCCGCGCUCUAAGGCUGGUCGCGGUGGUGCAAAAAAUGUUUCUCCGCUACUCGAGACCAAAAAACCUGCCCUGUCUACUGAGCAUGCCCGGUUUGACAGCUUCACAGCCGAGGUUUUUUUUUUUUUCUCCUUUUCCCCAAGACUCCAGGUUUUAGCCGCAGCUGAGAUGGGAGGUGGAGGGAGGUGGGGGGAGGAGGAGAGGGAGAGGAGGAGGAGGAGAAAGAGGAGAAGGGCUUAAGGAGCAAGUAUCGGGCAGAGGAAGGGAAGUCGCAAUGAGAAAGAUCAGGGUGUUAUAGGGUGGAGAGGGGAAGGAGAAAGCUGGAUAUGGAAGCAGAGGAAGGAAAUAUGGAUCAACAAAAUUUAGAUUUCCUACUACAGUGGAUAGAUGCCUGGCCAGAAAAGCCAAAAGCCCGUGAAUGCGGUGCAUAAGCGACCCACAAGCUCUCGUGCGUCUGUCGGUGAGAGUGCACCGCCGACUGCGUCCUGCUGACAGUGUGACCCCAGAGCGCCAAGGCCGGCCGGCCACAUGCAGCCUACUGGCGGCGCAUCAGAUCAGCAGUAACGACGUCCACCUGAAGGUGGUUGGGGGAAGAGGGGAGCGCUAAGGGAUCCUGCCCUGCCUGGCCGCCCAGGUUCCUGGGCUCCCUAAACGGCUCCGCCCCUCACCCAGCCUGGCACCAGGGCACGUACUCGGGCGAACCCAGCGCGCUGCCCCAAGCCCUGGAUCCCUCCCUCCCUCCCAACCCUCCUCAGCUUCCUCGAAAAAGCGGAGAAGCGGAAUCUGCACGCCCAGAAACUCGCGUCAGAAGCCUUAGUAGUCCGACUGGGCAUGCUCGGGACUUGGGGCGCUUCGCAUGGAGGCACUCUCCAGCGGCUAACAUCUGUCCGACUGGGCCAGAUAGAGCAAGACCGUGGGAGAUACCAAGUGCCGAGCCAGGGGAGCUGCACAAACUGGAGAAAUAGGAGUCUAGCGGAUUCCCAGGCCUCCUGCCCCGCGGUGCCACCCCAGCCGUAGGCAGGUAGGGGGCGCGCAGAGCAGCUAGGGAGCACCGCGUGUGCUCCCAAGGGACUGCUGACCUCUAGGUAAAGAAAAGAGAGCGUGAAGAGUCGAACAUUCUUUGGGCGAAGGACGUUUACUGAUUUUUUUUUUUUUAAGUAAAGAAAGAAGGGCGUGUGUGAAUGCGUAUAUGUGCACGCACGUUUUAAAUUUUCCUCCGCAAGAACAGGGACAGGAGAGCGAGAAGCUAUUGCCGAGUUGGGAACCCGCUAGAGGUUACAAUAAGGCAGGCUUGGAGUCGUGGCUGGUGCUAGUUACCGGGAAGAGUUCCUCUUGGCGCGGUGGGCGAACACCAAAGCUUCCAACUGUUCCCUUCCCUGGGUGGCGGCAGCUGCCCAAGGUCGGCUUCCGGGCUGGUCUCUGUGCUCCUGAGCAGGGGGACCAGAUUCAGUUUCAGAAAGAGAGGUAGUACAGAGUGACGCCAGGGGGAGUUCUCUGAACCGUGUGUUCCCAUUUUCCCAGCUUUUGAUAUAGGUAUUUGCAAAGAGGGAGCAUUGUAAGACCAUCACACCACCAAGGGGAGGAAAUACAAAGAGCUGAACACUCUAGGGGGAAGAAUCAGGGAAUCAAGAGCACGUUUAUUCCCAUCGUCCCUUCCCAACAAGGUCUUCAGCUUCAGGCAGGAAUCAUUUGGAUCCCUGCGGCUCAACACCCUCCCACUCCCGUCCCGCCCCACCGCCCUGCCAACAAAGAAACAAAAGAUGACAACCAGGCUCUGUAGGGGCAUAGCAACUGCUUCUAUCACCGGCUCUCUGUUGGGCUGUUGAGAAAGCAGUAGUGAAAGGAUGGGUAUAAAACCUGUGUCUUGCCACAAAUAUGUAAACGAAACCUUCCUAAAACCCACUACCCUCCUACAAAACAAAAACAAGUUAUUUGUAUAAACAUAUAUAGAUUUAAGUAUCCUAAAUAAAGAUUCCACAUUAUGAACUGCCCAAACCCUGAACUGUGGAAGGAAGACUUUCAGGAUACCUCCUCAAUCCUUACCAAAGAGUUCUGGAAGGAGAAAAAAAAGAAACAUCUGGCCAGUCACUUCUCCAAUGACUGGAAAUACUCUGGGUGUUUCCGUAACCAGCGAUUAAGAAAAGAACUCCCCAUAACAAAAAGGGAAUUCUGGCCAAAUGGGACAUGGACAAACCCUAAUGACCAAGGAAAUGGAAUAUGAAUUUAAAAGCAUGAUUAUCUCACUCUCAUUCUUGCUGUUCCUUUGUUACUCUUCUUGAAGAUACUGGCAGAAAGGGAGAGUUGAUACUUAGGGAUUUCAUGAAAGGAGGCCGAGUUUGUUUCUCUCCUGGCAAUUCAGCAGUCCCUGUAAUCAUUUUUUUUUAGAAAUUCUCUACCACCUCCUCUUUAUGCUGUAUUUUCUCUAGCAUUCUUCCCUCUCAUUUCCUUACUGGUCUCCUGUGGCUCCCUGGUGUCCUUAAUUCAUUUGGUCUGCACCUGUCUCCCUUUAGUUCCUUCAAAACAUUGUUUCCAGUCCUAAUUCCGAAGUACAGAGGGCUCUGUCACUUUUCUCUGUUUCCUAAGAACUGAUUUGCUGCUUCUAGACGCCUAUAUCCUGAUAUUGUAGGUGGAUUUCCUAAGGCAUUUAUUCAACUUUAGAGAUUCCCCAGACACAUUUAAGCAACAUGAAAUUGCAGAAUUUUCAAGUAGUUUUGCUCAUGGGACCAAGAAUUUCUAUUUCAAAUAUGAAUAUCAGGAAGAAGACACACUAAAUUGCUAGUUUCAGAAUAGCCAAUGUAAAUAUAACAGAUUGUAAUGGAGCAUGCAAUCUCUAUAUGACAGUUGUCCAGUUGCCAAGUGUAUAUUAUUAAAAUAAUUUGCUAGGAAUUUUAAGAUAUAUACCUUUUUGUUAACAAAGACACACACACACACAUGCACUCAUACACCUUUUUAUGUUUAUUCCCAAAACUAAUGUAAUUACAUAAAUUCAAUUCAGCAAGUGAUUAUGGAACAUCUACUAUAUUCCAGGAACUGUGCCAGCAUUGGGAAUAGGCAAAGAAAUUGAGACUUAAAGAAGCUAAGAAAUGUUCAAAGAUGUGUGAACAAUUUGCUAAUCAACAAGUAUAUACUGUGUGACUGUUACCGUGUAUCUAGACUAUUUCACUCCUAGAGAACAAUAUUUAGAUGUUCUGGCCUUGAUUUUUUAAAUAUAUUUUUAAUCUAUAGGUUGCAUUCUGUGAGAAGAAUGCAUAAUGGAAAAUAUGACAUGUCAGUUUUGUUUCUAAGUACCCUCAUAAUAAGAAUGUAAGUACAAUAAUAUUUGUAUUAGUCUAUUCUCACGCUGCCAAUAAAGACAUACCUGAGAUUAAGUAACUUAUACAGGAAAGAAGUUUCAUUGUACUCACAGUUCAGCAUGGCUGGGGAGGUCUCAGGAAACUUACAAUCAUGGUGGAAGGGGAAACAAACAUGUCCUUCUUCACAUGGUGGCAGCAAGGAGAAGUGCAGAGCAAAAGGUGGAAAAGCCCCCCAUUAUAAAUCCAUCAGAUCUCAUGAGAACUCACUCACUAUCACAAGAAUAGCAUGGAGGCAACCACCCCUAUAUUCAGUUACCACCCACAGGAUCUCUCCCAUGAAACACAGAGAUUAUGGGGACUACUAUUCAACAUGAGAUUUGGUGGGAACACAACCAAACCAUAUCAAUAUUAGAAGACUAAAGUCAAUAUCAAUUACAUAAACAAAAUCAAUGUGCACCAUCUGAAAUGAAGGAGUUUUGUUUGGUUGCUUGUCUAAUGGCAAGAUGUUUUCAAAGGCAUAAUUUCAACAUGUACUCGUUGUGGUAGACUAUUAUUUCCUAUUUCAACUGAUAACAACACCAUCCAGAGAUCAACUAGCAGAGAUUAUGAGUAGUGCUGGCACCUUAACUUUUGGCUACAAUGAUUGGAAGCAGGAAAGGUAGCUUAAUGAUUUUCUACCCAAACAGCUUCCAUAAACAGGGCUGUAAAAUUGCAGUCACCAGCUUGCUGCAAGGGAGUGCCCAUUUCCGGCCAGCUGUGGGCUCCCCCUGGGGAAAGCAGCCACCUUGGAGGAAGCUUAUUUGAGCCUGGAUAUGAACAGUUGGUGGCCAGGAUUCUGCAUCCAUCUGUUCAGAACAGAGUCAGACACACUAUUUUUCACAUACCCAAGUAAGGCUCAGGAAAACAACUGGCAAGCCAAUUAAAGUCUUCUCU